GUGGGGAAUCUUCCGCAAUGGACGAAAGUCUGACGGAGCAACGCCGCGUGAGUGAUGACGGCCUUCGGGUUGUAAAGCUCUGUUAAUCGGGACGAAUGGUUCUUGUGCGAAUAGUGCGAGGAUUUGACGGUACCGGAAUAGAAAGCCACGGCUAACUACGUGCCAGCAGCCGCGGUAAUACGUAGGUGGCAAGCGUUGUCCGGAAUUAUUGGGCGUAAAGCGCGCGCAGGCGGAUCAGUUAGUCUGUCUUAAAAGUUCGGGGCUUAACCCCGUGAUGGGAUGGAAACUGCUGAUCUAGAGUAUCGGAGAGGAAAGUGGAAUUCCUAGUGUAGCGGUGAAAUGCGUAGAUAUUAGGAAGAACACCAGUGGCGAAGGCGACUUUCUGGACGAAAACUGACGCUGAGGCGCGAAAGCCAGGGGAGCGAACGGGA
RNAcentral lists this ribosomal RNA (431 nucleotides) under uncultured bacterium. RNAcentral describes it as "bacterial SSU rRNA". It matches the Rfam family "Bacterial small subunit ribosomal RNA", at positions 354 to 777 of the family's 1533-position model. The record is from RNAcentral.